GACGAACGCUGGCGGCGUGCUUAACACAUGCAAGUCGAACGGACAGGCCCUGCUUUUGUGGGGUGCUCGAGUGGCGAACGGGUGUGUAACACGUGAGUAACCUGCCCUUGACUUUGGGAUAACUUCAGGAAACUGGGGCUAAUACCGGGUAGGAGCUCCUGCUGCAUGGUGGGGGUUGGAGAGUUUCGGCGGUUGGGGAUGGACUUGCGGCUUAUGUGCUUGUGGGUGGGGUCGUGGCUUACUAGGGCUUUGAGGGGUAGCCGGCCUGAGAGGGUGACCGGGCACAUGGGGACUGAGAUACGGCCCAGAGUCGUACGGGGGGCAGCAGUGGGGAAGAUUGCACAAUGGGGGGAAGCCGGAUGAAGCAACGCCGCGUGCGGGAUGACGGCCUUUGGGUUGGAAGCCGCUGGCGCUUGUGACGAAGCGUGAGUGACGGUAAUGGGUAAAGAAGCACCGGCUAACUACGUG
RNAcentral lists this ribosomal RNA (468 nucleotides) under uncultured bacterium. RNAcentral's name for it is "partial 16S ribosomal RNA". It matches the Rfam family "Bacterial small subunit ribosomal RNA", at positions 28 to 507 of the family's 1533-position model. The record is from RNAcentral.